AGAGUCUGAGGAACACGCCGCGUGAGUGAUGAAGGUUUUCGGAUCGUAAAGCUCUGUUGCCCUGGAAGAACAAGUGCCGUUCAAAUAGGGCGGCACCUUGACGGUACCUAACCAGAAAGCCACGGCUAACUACGUGCCAGCAGCCGCGGUAAUACGUAGGUGGCAAGCGUUGUCCGGAAUUAUUGGGCGUAAAGGGCUCGCAGGCGGUUUCUUAAGUCUGAUGUGAAAGCCCCCGGCUCAACCGGGGAGGGUCAUUGGAAACUGGGGAACUUGAGUGCAGAAGAGGAGAGUGGAAUUCCACGUGUAGCGGUGAAAUGCGUAGAGAUGUGGAGGAACACCAGUGGCGAAGGCGACUCUCUGGUCUGUAACUGACGCUGAGGAGCGAAAGCGUGGGGAGCGAACAGGAUUAGAUACCCCAGUAGUCAA
RNAcentral lists this ribosomal RNA (426 nucleotides) under Bacillus sp. (in: firmicutes). RNAcentral describes it as "bacterial SSU rRNA". It matches the Rfam family "Bacterial small subunit ribosomal RNA", at positions 378 to 797 of the family's 1533-position model. The record is from RNAcentral. Lineage: Bacteria; Bacillati; Bacillota; Bacilli; Caryophanales; Bacillaceae.